RNAcentral lists this long non-coding RNA (3409 nucleotides) under Sus scrofa (pig). Its description in RNAcentral is "lncRNA (ENSSSCG00005019456.1)". The record is from RNAcentral. Lineage: Eukaryota; Metazoa; Chordata; Mammalia; Artiodactyla; Suidae.
AGGAGGUGGAUCUGAGAAGAUAUUGCUAUGGUUUAUCUCAGAGUGUUUGGCCUAUGUUUUCAGGUCUAUUGCUGUAGAACUGGGAUACUGUCACUCAAAAGGACUUCUAGCCACCAACUCACAGGACAGCCUAGGUAUGUAAUAAAACUGCAUCUUCAGAAGAUAGCAAAGGAGUGUGAACAGGUAAGGAUGGUCAAGUCACCCAAAAUCACCCAGCAGCAGAAGAAGCACAUGAAAGAUAAGAUGUUCAGGUUGCCACAAACUAGAGCAUUUUUAAGGAAACAAAACACCUGUAAUUUUUAUAUUUUGACUAAGACAUUUUCACAGCAUCUUUUCAGGCUGGGAACAAAUGGUAUUUCCAUAAUGACAAGAGUUUUGUAAACAUUAAGAAUAGCACAUGCCAAGCCCUUCCAUGGGAAAGCUUGUGCAUUUGAAACAAAUGGUCUCUUCCCAGUAAUUGGCACAUAGCAGGUGUUCAGAAACUCUUUGUGUAUCAGAUUAAAUGAGGAAACUGGAGGCAUGACAGGACCAAGUAUUUUCCCAAAUGGUUCAUGAACAUUGGAAUGGUAGAAUUAUUAACAUAAAAUCAUUUUAUAGUGCAGUUGAAGGAUUUCUGUUAUAUUUAGAAAUUUUAAAAGAAUGAAAAGAAAGCCUUGUCAAAAUAGUGAAGAUGUCUACAAAUGCGAUUCCAUAAUGUGGACAAACAGAGAAAUAUGGAGCAAGAAGAGAAAUUGAAAAGAAGCCAAUAUUACGUGUUUUCUCUUACUGUUAGGGCACAAAGGAAAAGAAGUAGAUAUGAUAACAGAACGGUAUCUGCCAUUUUCACAUCAAUUAAAAGCCAAGAAAUAAAGACUUCUUUUAAUGAGAAAUAUCAAAGUCUACUUUCAGCCAAAUUUUUAUACCAGGCUUCCUUUUCUAGUCUGUUUGGGCUACUAUAAUACAAUGCUAUAUACUGGGUGGCUUAUAAAAAACACAAAUUUAUUUCUUACAGUUCUGGAAGUUAGGAAGUUCACAAUCAAGACCCCAACAGAUUUGGUGUCUGGUGAGAACCAGCUUGCUGGUCCAUAGAUGGCUGUCUUCUUCCUAUGUCCUCACACAUCAGAAAAGCAAGGCAGCUUUCUGGGGUCUCUUUUAUAAGGAUGCUAAUCCCAUUCAUGAGGGCUCCCUUCUCAGGAUGUAACUGCCUCCCAAACACCCCACCUCCUAAUGCUGUUAUACUGAGGAUUAGGUUUCUACAUAUGAUUUGGACGCUUAUGAACAUUCAGUCUAUACUUCUUCCCAAAAGAACUGAAAUUCUGGAGUUCAAGUGCUGGCUUUACAACAAUAGAUUUGAGACUACAAGCCAGUUGACUAAGGCUGUUUAGAAAUCAGAAACCUAUUAAAUUUUAGGAAUGAAACUUAGAUUAGGCUACACAAUGAUUUUGAAGAUAUGUACAUGAUAUAUUUUCUAUUAAAAUAUCCGUAUUUUUUUGUAUUUUGAUCUAAGUGAUUGGCCAAUCACUUGAAUAGAGUAAUUGCUAAUAAGAUUAAUUAUAUUCUUUUUAUUUUAUGAUAUCUCAUUUUUUAUAAUCAAUAUAAAAUUAGUAGAAAAGCAGCUUGAAAUUUUCGUAUAAUUAAGGAAAAUGGUCUCAAUUCCUUUCCCUUUGAUUAGUGAGCAGGGAAAGCUCUUGUUUGACAUUUACUGAUAUUUAAACUCUUAAAUGAAAUUUGUGUAAGGUUAAAAAUUUACAUGGACUUUAUUCCUUUUGUUGAUUUUAUUGCAUUUUAUAAUUACACAGACUAUAUGAAAUGCCAAAAAUUGUAUUAAAUGUCAAAAAUUGUGCUUAAACAUAGCUAAUCCAAAUCUAUAGAAAAUGUUUAAACUUAGUCAUCAUUCUAUACCAAAUGCUUUUAAAACUUAUUUUUUUAACUUAAGAAAUUUUAUUUUGGAACUACUCUGUGUCUUGAACUAUAUUAAUUCUUGUGGGCUAAUAAAAUGCAUAUGACAGUUCAUAUUGUGUAGACUAUUACACUCUAUUUGGGGUGAAAGAAUAAAAAAUAUAAUAUGAUUUCUUCACACUUCAGAGAUUUAUGUGGGCUGAAAGGUUUAGAGAAGUUCUUAUCAAAUAAGAAAAGACUUGUAUAAAUCGUCUUAUGGAAUUGGACCAGGGUUGGAGUGGGGAAGAAGAGGAAGGACAUAUUUGGAGAGAAUAUAGCAGGAUGUCUGUAGGUCCGUUAAUUCUGCGCUGUGGCAGAUGAGAAACAUGUUUGGAGGAUGAGAAAAAAGUGAAAGUUAUUGUGAUUUUGAGAUCCCAGGAAAGGAUUUAUACAAGAUUUGCAAGAGAGUUGGUAUUUUGGAGAAGCAUCUUCUAGGAUAGCUGUAGAAGGUCUGGGAGGCUCCUGUAAGUGAUGGAAAUAGUAGCUGCCGUCCCAGAAGUGUGUGUUUAGUUUCAUGGUGCUAGAUAUAACUGUCUUCUCUCUGGGGAGAGUUCGUUGUUUUAAAACAGUCCUAUGAGUUAUCAGAAUACAACAUGCAACACAGAAGUCCUGCCAUAACCAUUGAGAAUUAGUAAAUACACACUCAGAAGAAUGAAUAACGGAUGUUUAAACUCAUUCAACAUGGACAAUCAGAAGUAUUUUCCUUUACACAUGAAAAUUCUUUAGCAGUUGUCGUGAUUGUGUUGCAAAAUGAGCCUCAGUUAUUUUUCAACAUUUUAUUUUUUUUCAUUUAAUGUAGCAAAACGUGGAAGAGAAAGAAUUGGGUUUGGAAUAAAAUGGACAAAAGGUGCGUUCUUCCUCUUCCUCCAAGACAUUUAACCUCUUCACAGCGAAUGAUAACACCCUCUUCACAGGAUGCUCUUAAGCAUAACUUAGUAGUAGCAGUAAUAAUAUUGGCUAAUAUUUAUGAAUAUUUUGCACUUAUCAUGUAUUUAUCACUUUUUUGAGAAUUAAAUGAAAUAAUCUUAGUAAAAUAGCAUGUAGCCAUAAAUUAUUCUUCAGAUUUAAAAAAAAAAGUUGAAAGAGAAAUUGUGAUUUAUAGUAUCUUCUAUCAGAUUAAUAAAGACUUUCCAGCCACCCCCAUUCUUUUUUAGGGCACUUAACUUGUUGGAUUCACAAUCCAAUUCUAUUGGAGAUUACUUUAAAUUUAGCAAUAGAGUUUAAUUUAUAUAAACAUCUUGAGAUAACAAGUCCAGGACUUGGUUUUCUUUAGUGCCUUAUGGAAACCUAAUUUAUUGUUGUUGUUACUUAAUAUACAUCAUUACAUUAUUAAAAACAAACGGUGGGGAGUUCUCCUGUGAUGCAAUGAGUUAAAGAUCCAGCAUUGUCACUGCAGUGGCUUGGGUCACUGCUGUGGAGAGGGUAUGAUUCCUGGCCCAGGAACUUCCACGUGCCCCUGGUGCUACCAAAAAAAAAACAAACAAAAAAAAAA